GCUGGUCGUUACCCUUGCACUACUUCCAGGUGGUGACUUGGGCUGUCUUCGUGGGCCUUUCCUCG
RNAcentral lists this small RNA (65 nucleotides) under Pongo abelii (Sumatran orangutan). RNAcentral describes it as "processed transcript". Lineage: Eukaryota; Metazoa; Chordata; Mammalia; Primates; Hominidae. The record is from RNAcentral.